This 682-nucleotide ribosomal RNA is filed under the name uncultured bacterium. RNAcentral's name for it is "bacterial SSU rRNA". It matches the Rfam family "Bacterial small subunit ribosomal RNA", at positions 69 to 768 of the family's 1533-position model. The record is from RNAcentral.
AGUGGAGUUCUUCGGAACAAAGCUAGCGGCGGACGGGUGAGUAACACGUGGGCAACCUGCCUCAUAGAGGGGAAUAGCCUUCCGAAAGGGAGAUUAAUACCGCAUAAGAUUGUAGCUUCGCAUGAAGUAGCAAUUAAAGGAGCAAUCCGCUAUGAGAUGGGCCCGCGGCGCAUUAGCUAGUUGGUGAGGUAACGGCUCACCAAGGCGACGAUGCGUAGCCGACCUGAGAGGGUGAUCGGCCACAUUGGGACUGAGACACGGCCCAGACUCCUACGGGAGGCAGCAGUGGGGAAUAUUGCACAAUGGGGGAAACCCUGAUGCAGCAACGCCGCGUGAGUGAUGACGGCCUUCGGGUUGUAAAGCUCUGUCUUCAGGGACGAUAAUGACGGUACCUGAGGAGGAAGCCACGGCUAACUACGUGCCAGCAGCCGCGGUAAUACGUAGGUGGCGAGCGUUGUCCGGAUUUACUGGGCGUAAAGGGAGCGUAGGCGGACUUUUAAGUGAGAUGUGAAAUACUCGGGCUCAACUUGAGUGCUGCAUUUCAAACUGGAAGUCUAGAGUGCAGGAGAGGAGAAUGGAAUUCCUAGUGUAGCGGUGAAAUGCGUAGAGAUUAGGAAGAACACCAGUGGCGAAGGCGAUUCUCUGGACUGUAACUGACGCUGAGGCUCGAAAGCGUGGGGAG